CGCCUUAUACUCCUACGGGAGGCAGCAGUGGGGAAUUUUGGACAAUGGGCGCAAGCCUGAUCCAGCAAUGCCGCGUGAGUGAAGAAGGCCUUCGGGUUGUAAAGCUCUUUUGUCAGGGAAGAAACGGGUCUUUCUAAUACAGAGACCUAAUGACGGUACCUGAAGAAUAAGCACCGGCUAACUACGUGCCAGCAGCCGCGGUAAUACGUAGGGUGCAAGCGUUAAUCGGAAUUACUGGGCGUAAAGCGUGCGCAGGCGGUUUUGUAAGACUGUCGUGAAAUCCCCGGGCUCAACCUGGGAAUGGCGAUGGUGACUGCAAGGCUAGAGUUUGGCAGAGGGGGGUAGAAUUCCACGUGUAGCAGUGAAACGCGUAGAUAUGUGGAGGAACACCGAUGGCGAAGGCAGCCCCCUGGGUCAAAACUGACGCUCAUGCACGAAAGCGUGGGGAGCAAACAGGAUUAGAAACCCCAGUAGUCCACGUACCA
RNAcentral lists this ribosomal RNA (485 nucleotides) under uncultured bacterium. Its description in RNAcentral is "bacterial SSU rRNA". It matches the Rfam family "Bacterial small subunit ribosomal RNA", at positions 327 to 804 of the family's 1533-position model. The record is from RNAcentral.